GACAGAGGUGCCGAGCGUUAGGCGGAAUCACUGGGCUUAAAGCGUGUGUAGGCGGGUCCGUAAGUACCUUGUGAAAUCCCAUGGCUCAACCAUGGAACUGCUUGGUAUACUGCGGAUCUUGAGCCACCUAGGGGCAAGUGGAACAAACGGUGGAGCGGUGAAAUGCGUAGAUAUCGUUUGGAACGCCAGUGGUGAAAACAACUUGCUGGGGGUGUGCUGACGCUGGAGACACGAAAGCCAGGGGAGCAAACGGG
Molecule: ribosomal RNA, 254 nt
Filed under: uncultured bacterium
Lineage: Bacteria
Description: partial 16S ribosomal RNA
Rfam family: Bacterial small subunit ribosomal RNA
Source: RNAcentral